RNAcentral lists this ribosomal RNA (468 nucleotides) under uncultured bacterium. Its description in RNAcentral is "partial 16S ribosomal RNA". It matches the Rfam family "Bacterial small subunit ribosomal RNA", at positions 28 to 507 of the family's 1533-position model. The record is from RNAcentral.
GACGAACGCUGGCGGCGUGCUUAACACAUGCAAGUCGAACGGAAAGGCCCUGCUUUUGUGGGGUGCUCGAGUGGCGAACGGGUGAGUAACACGUGAGUAACCUGCCCUUGACUUUGGGAUAACUUCAGGAAACUGGGGCUAAUACCGGAUAGGAGCUCCUGCUGCAUGGUGGGGGUUGGAAAGUUUCGGCGGUUGGGGAUGGACUCGCGGCUUAUCAGCUUGUUGGUGGGGUAGUGGCUUACCAAGGCUUUGACGGGUAGCCGGCCUGAGAGGGUGACCGGCCACAUUGGGACUGAGGUACGGCCCAGACUCCUACGGGAGGCAGCAGUGGGGAAUAUUGCACAAUGGGCCGAAGCCUGAUGCAGCAACGCCGCGUGCGGGAUGACGGCCUUCGGGUUGUAAACCGCUUUCGCCUGUGACGAAGCGUGAGUGACGGUAAUGGGUAAAGAAGCACCGGCUAACUACGUG